This 2325-nucleotide long non-coding RNA is filed under the name Capsicum annuum. RNAcentral describes it as "long non-coding RNA (CANN_LNC019254)". Lineage: Eukaryota; Viridiplantae; Streptophyta; Magnoliopsida; Solanales; Solanaceae. The record is from RNAcentral.
CCUAAUCUAGCCCCAACUUUCUUUGUUAAAGAAAUCCUCUUUACACUUGCCUUAGCUCCAACUUUCUUUGCUAAAGAAACCCUCUUUACACUUGCCUUAGCUGUGGGGCAAACCGUUGUAUUUGGACAUCGAAACCAUAAACAAAACUCGACCCAACUGUGCUAGAGUGAAAGUUUUGGUGGACCUCAAAGCCAACCUUCCUAAAUUUGUUAACAUGGAGAUCUGCAAUGAAACUACACGAGCUAGUAGGAAUACACAAGUUAAAAUUCAAAUAUGAUCAUAUGCCUAAGUACUGUUUUUAGUGUAAAAUACUAAGGCACAUGAUGGAGAACUGGUAGUGAGAUAGUAGGUUCUCCACAAUAGCAAAAAAAAAAAGGAUUUCUUUUCCUCCGAAGAUAUUGACCAGUGGAAAGAUUGCUGGUGAUAAGUGUGGAUGAAAUUAAAAAUAAGAAGGUGGUCACAAUGGAUAGUAAGAAAAGCAAUUCUCAAGAUUUGCAUCAGCAAACUGAUACAGCCACAGAAAUCAACACACAACAAUUUUGCAACACAAACAGAAGAGGUGGAGAAUAUCAAUGCAAAUGAAGUUCAACAAAGCCCCACAAAGUCAAAGUGAAAAAAUAUGUACUCCCAUCCAGAAAAAUACUAAAUUCCAGGAAGCAGUAAUCAAAACUCUGUUCAAGGCACAAAGUUGAAAAAUUUGUUCAAAAACACAGAAGGUGUGGCAGACAAGGUGGUAGAUGUCCCAAAAGGAGGUGUGGCAGACAAGGUGGUAGAUGUCCCAAAAGGAGGUGUAACAGAACUUGCUUUAGUCAAUCAGUCCACUCCUAAAACUACUGGAUCUAGGAAAUGGGGUGAUAGAAGAAGAUGAUGGUGUGAAAAAAAGAGAACUGCAGGUGUCGGGUUAAAAGUAGGAAAAUAGAAUGAAAGAGUAGAUUAGGAGAAACGAGGUGAAAAUCAAGGAGUGGACAUGAACCUUAUGCAUAUUGAUGAGGUUUAGUCCAAAGAGAUCAAUAUUAGCUCCCAUGAACAUUGAUCCUAUUUAGGCUGUACAAAGUGAUUGGAAACAGGUGGAAAUAUACAAUGACCAUGAUAAUUUUGAUGAAAAGAUGGGAGUCUAAUUUGGAGAAGAUAACUGACUAGGGGAAUUUAAACUUGGAUCAAAUCAGUGAUCAGGAGAAUUCAAAUAAAGAACUGUCACCAAAUAGGAAGUUACAUGCUAUUGUAACUCUUGAUUUGAAUAUAGAGGAAUUAGCGGAACUCAACAAGGAGGGGAAGUUGAAAAUUGAAGGAAAUAAAAGUUAUCAACAGUUUGAUACUUCUCUAAAAUCAAGAUAAGGAAGGAGGAACAAAAAGCAUGAUGUCUUAGCAAAUAAAUUACCCUCAAGGGUAAUCACAAGAGGUGCUGCCACCAAAAUUAAUCAAAAACAAUGAUGAAAGCAUUUAUAUGGGACAUUAGAUAUGUUAAAAGUCAUCAAGAUUUUAAUAGAGUUCAAAUGAUUCAUAAGCAUCACAAAUUCAGUUACAUAGCUCUUUUAGAGCCUUUUCAAAGAUAUACUCAGAUGGGUAAGUACAAGAGAAGGUUAAGUAUGGAGCAGACAGGUAGAAACUACAAUGGUAAGAUCUAGUAUGUUAUAGAGGAUAAUAUUGGGGUAGAAGUGGUUACUGACUGACUAAUCGAUCACUUUGAAAUUAACAUUCCCUGACAACAUUUGUUACACUACUCUAGUCUAUGCCAAAUGAAUUAAAAGAGAAAGACUGAGUUUGUGGGAUUCUAUACACCAGCUAGCUAAUUCCAUUACUUUACCUUGGCUUGGUGGAGGAGAUUUCCAUGUGAUUAUGAAUGGAGAGGAGAAAAUUGGCGGUCUUCAUGUCCUUCCAAAUGAAUAUGAGGAGUUUGCAUUUUUAUUGAACUCUUGUGAACCCUUUGAAACUGUUUUCAAAUGAAUAUGAGGAGUUUGCAUUUUUAUUGAACUCUUGUGAACCCUUUGAAACUGUUUUCAAAGUCCCCUUCACAUGGUGGAAUGGUAGAGCUGGUCCCAACUGUACUUUUAAGAGAUUGAAUAGAAUAGUAAUAAAUCAACAAUGACAAGAUUGGUUUGAAGAUGUGGAGGUGGAGCACUUGGCCAGAAUUGGGUCUGACCAUAUGCCCCAAUGACGAUUACUAUGAAGAAAAACAAGCAACAGUUUUAUAAACCCUUCAAAUUCUUGGCUUUCUGGAUAAAAAAUGAAGGGUUCAUGGAUAUUGUGAGAACCAAUUGGAAUGUUGAAGAAGGAAAUUCCUUUUACAGGUUCAUUUAAAAAAGAGAGAAGUAUGAUUACCCUGAA